UACGAAGGGGGCUAGCGUUGUUCGGAUUUACUGGGCGUAAAGCGCACGUAGGCGGAUCGAUCAGUCAGGGGUGAAAUCCCGGAGCUCAACUCCGGAACUGCCUUUGAUACUGUCGAUCUCGAGUCCGGAAGAGGUGAGUGGAACUCCUAGUGUAGAGGUGGAAUUCGUAGAUAUUAGGAAGAACACCAGUGGCGAAGGCGGCUCACUGGUCCGGUACUGACGCUCAUGCACGAAAGCGUGGGGAGCAAACAGG
Molecule: ribosomal RNA, 253 nt
Filed under: uncultured bacterium
Lineage: Bacteria
Description: partial 16S ribosomal RNA
Rfam family: Bacterial small subunit ribosomal RNA
Source: RNAcentral